This 539-nucleotide long non-coding RNA is filed under the name Populus tremula. RNAcentral's name for it is "long non-coding RNA (PTRE_LNC002703)". The record is from RNAcentral. Lineage: Eukaryota; Viridiplantae; Streptophyta; Magnoliopsida; Malpighiales; Salicaceae.
AAAAAUAGUGGCUAUGACUGUUAAGUGAGAAAGGUCAACAAAGUCCAGUUCCCACAUUCUCUUCUCUUGGUGGUAAGCAAGUGGGAGUGGGUGGCCGUCCCUCCAAUCUUGUCCUAUACUGUUUAUCUACACACAGUAUCCUAUACUCUGAUGUAUGUAUUGGGUUUGUAAAUACCUAGCUAGCAUGCUUUCUUUUGAACGGAUAUGUACGUUUUUUUUCCUUGUUUUAAUUGAAGUAUAUAUCCUUUGAUCAGUCUUCAUGGAGCAACUUUACAUCCCUUAAACGCAGAAAACUGAAAAUUGUGCGUUUAUUUGCUGUUUCUGUCUUCCAGGCUUAUUUGGAUUUUGAAGAACAAGGAUAGGCAGGAGAAUGCUCCAAUGGUGCUGUCUCCCCCAGAACAAGGAGGUGUCUAAAUACAAGGAAAAUAACAUCCAAGAAGUGACAUGGGCUUUGUCGAACUAGCAAUGUCAAGAAACCUUGAACCACAUAGGUAGAUGGGUGGCAAGUAUGUUCAUGUAAUGAAAUACGAUGGUACAGG